Molecule: long non-coding RNA, 634 nt
Organism: Mastomys coucha (southern multimammate mouse)
Lineage: Eukaryota; Metazoa; Chordata; Mammalia; Rodentia; Muridae
Exons: 3
Source: RefSeq, a predicted model, not a curated record
GCUGAAUUCUCAGGGCACUGGGAGACUCUGAUAAGAUCAUCUAAUUGAUACUCAAGAUAUUUUUGUAGAAUAUCACAAGAAUAUGUUUGUGGAAUUUUAAACUCUGCUUUGUGAACAAUCCAGAAUACAUAACUAAAGGUUCUAUAGUUUAUGUCUUAAGGUUGUCUCUAAUUCCUAACCUAGUACUGAAUGGCUUGGGUUCUGGAAUCCUGACUAGGGGAAGCUUUGUGGGGAUAAAGAAAGAACACACACACACAGGCCCUGGUACAGGGAAGCUGGGAUCCGAUGAGGUCUGCUACAGCCCAGACCGGGAACCUCAGUCCGUUUACUAGGCUCCCAAAUUAGAGCGUACGAGUCCACUCAUUCUAAGCCUCUGAACGGCAACUGAGGUCAGUAACUAAGGAUCAACUUAUUAAUCAACCAUGACCCAAGCCCCAGAAGAUGGCAACACAUCCCUACACAUAGAGGGUGGCACAUCCCAACCUCCUCUAGGAUGAGGUAUCCCUGCUUAGAAUCUUUUCUUCUGGUUAUUUAUGAUGUCUUUAUUACAAGCUGGUGAUAUAACCCACCAUCCACUUCGAAUGUUAAUGUGACAAUUAAAUACUUUUUUAACUAAAAGGCAACAUUAAAACUA